UCACCUCUCAUACCUAGUUUUCUAUGUAUGAGCUUUGGACGUUUGCCAUCCGUGGCUCGUCUUAAAUGACUAAGUGGAAUGCGUAAUAAGUUUUCGCUCCCUCCACUCUAAUAACUUUUUA
RNAcentral lists this unclassified non-coding RNA (121 nucleotides) under Hannaella zeae. Its description in RNAcentral is "sequence contains ITS2". The record is from RNAcentral. Lineage: Eukaryota; Fungi; Basidiomycota; Tremellomycetes; Tremellales; Bulleribasidiaceae.